CGCGUAGGCGGUUUACACAGUCAGAUGUGAAAUUCCAGGGCUUAACCUUGGGGCUGCAUUUGAUACGUGUAGACUAGAGUGUGAGAGAGGGUUGUGGAAUUCCCAGUGUAGAGGUGAAAUUCGUAGAUAUUGGGAAGAACACCGGUGGCGAAGGCAGGUUACUAAGUCAUAACUGACGCUGAGGCACGAAAGUGUGGGGAUCAAACAGGAUUAGAUACCCUCGUA
RNAcentral lists this ribosomal RNA (225 nucleotides) under uncultured Asaia sp. Its description in RNAcentral is "partial 16S ribosomal RNA". It matches the Rfam family "Bacterial small subunit ribosomal RNA", at positions 568 to 792 of the family's 1533-position model. The record is from RNAcentral. Lineage: Bacteria; Pseudomonadati; Pseudomonadota; Alphaproteobacteria; Acetobacterales; Acetobacteraceae.